Molecule: transfer RNA, 71 nt
Filed under: Stegodyphus mimosarum
Lineage: Eukaryota; Metazoa; Arthropoda; Arachnida; Araneae; Eresidae
Rfam family: tRNA
About the family: Transfer RNA (tRNA) molecules are approximately 80 nucleotides in length. Their secondary structure includes four short double-helical elements and three loops (D, anti-codon, and T loops).
Source: Rfam by way of RNAcentral
GCUUUCGUAGUGUAACGGUAGCACACUCGGCGCGUAUUCGAGAGAUCCAGGUUCGAGUCCCGCCGAGGGCA